UGCUGGGGUUGGGCAUGGGUUAAGCCCUCCGAACUUAAGAUUCGGCGUUUCGCGACUUACGGGUUCAAUUCCCGUCCCCAGCGA
This 84-nucleotide transfer RNA is filed under the name uncultured archaeon. Its description in RNAcentral is "tRNA-Leu(taa)". It matches the Rfam family "tRNA". From Rfam's summary of the family: Transfer RNA (tRNA) molecules are approximately 80 nucleotides in length. Their secondary structure includes four short double-helical elements and three loops (D, anti-codon, and T loops). The record is from RNAcentral.